AUGGAUGAAGAUAUGCACUGGGCUCCGAGCAGCAAACAUUGUUGCGUUUUGAUGGAGAUGCAUUUGCCUAGAAAGCAUUGUCUGACGU
Molecule: non-coding RNA, 88 nt
Organism: Triticum aestivum (bread wheat)
Lineage: Eukaryota; Viridiplantae; Streptophyta; Magnoliopsida; Poales; Poaceae
Source: Rfam